AGAACGAACGCUGGCGGCAGGCCUAAUACAUGCAAGUCGAGCGCCCAGCAAUGGGAGCGGCGGACGGGUGAGCAACACGUGGGAACAUGCCCUUCGGUACGGAACAACUCAGGGAAACUUGAGCUAAUACCGUAUACGCCCCGCAAGGGGGAAAGAUUUAUCGCCGAAGGAUUGGCCCGCGUCCGAUUAGCUAGUUGGUGAGGUAACGGCCCACCAAGGCACCGAUCGGUAGCUGGUUUGAGAGAACGACCAGCCACACUGGGACUGAGACACGGCCCAGACUCCUACGGGAGGCAGCAGUAGGGAAUCUUGGACAAUGGGGGAAACCCUGAUCCAGCCAUGCCGCGUGAGUGAUGAAGGCCUUCGGGUUGUAAAACUCUUUCGGCGGGGACGAUAAUGACGGUACCCGCAGAAGAAGCUCCGGCUAACUUCGUGCCAGCAGCCGC
RNAcentral lists this ribosomal RNA (446 nucleotides) under uncultured bacterium. Its description in RNAcentral is "SSU rRNA". It matches the Rfam family "Bacterial small subunit ribosomal RNA", at positions 26 to 518 of the family's 1533-position model. The record is from RNAcentral.